This 447-nucleotide ribosomal RNA is filed under the name uncultured bacterium. Its description in RNAcentral is "bacterial SSU rRNA". It matches the Rfam family "Bacterial small subunit ribosomal RNA", at positions 355 to 825 of the family's 1533-position model. The record is from RNAcentral.
UCGGGAAUUUUGGGCAAUGGGCGAAAGCCUGACCCAGCAACGCCGCGUGAGUGAAGAAGGCCUUCGGGUUGUAAAGCUCUUUUACCAGGGACGAUAAUGACGGUACCUGGAGAAUAAGCCCCGGCAAACUUCGUGCCAGCAGCCGCGGUAAUACGAAGGGGGCUAGCGUUGUUCGGAAUUACUGGGCGUAAAGCGCACGUAGGCGGAUUGUUAAGUCAGAGGUGAAAUCCCGGAGCUCAACUUCGGAACUGCCUUUGAUACUGGCAAUCUAGAGUCCGGAAGAGGUUAGUGGAAUUCCCAGUGUAGAGGUGAAAUUCGUAGAUAUUGGGAAGAACACCAGUGGCGAAGGCGGCUAACUGGUCCGGUACUGACGCUGAGGUGCGAAAGCGUGGGGAGCAAACAGGAUUAGAUACCCCUGUAGUCCCUGAGCGGGCUGGCAAGGCGCAU